Sorex fumeus (smoky shrew) is the source of this 378-nucleotide non-coding RNA. The record is from the annotation of a RefSeq genome assembly. Lineage: Eukaryota; Metazoa; Chordata; Mammalia; Eulipotyphla; Soricidae.
AUGACCUGGGCUCUUCUCCUCCUCAGCUUCCUCAGCCAGGGCCCAGGGUUCUGGGCCCAGAAUAUCCUUACUCAGCUUUCCUCAGUAUCUGGGACUCAGGGACAGACAGUGACCAUCUCCUGUACAGGAACCAGCAAUGACAUUGGGAAAUAUGACUAUGUCUCCUGGUACCAGCAGAAUGGGGGCACAGUCCCCAAAAUGCUAAUUUAUGAGGUCAAAAAAAGGCCAUCCGGGAUCCCUGAUCGCUUCUCUGGCUCCAAGUCUGGCAACACAGCGACCCUGACCAUCUCUGGGCUCAAGCCUGAGGAUGAGGCUGAUUACUACUGUUGCUCACCCAAGAGUGAUGGUGCGCGCACAGUGGUUCACGCUCAUGGGUAA